This 860-nucleotide long non-coding RNA is filed under the name Piliocolobus tephrosceles (Ugandan red Colobus). RNAcentral describes it as "lncRNA (ENSPTEG00000032933.1)". The record is from RNAcentral. Lineage: Eukaryota; Metazoa; Chordata; Mammalia; Primates; Cercopithecidae.
CAUUAUUGACAUCCUUAAGAUUCAAAUUAUUUUGCUUUAACCUAGGUUUUUUUUUCCUUUCUCGGUGAAGUUAGUAGACCCUUGCUUAUUGAUUGGUAUAUGAAAUUGGAUCAUUUUAUUGUUGUGAGAGGUUCUCUUUUAUUGAGUAUCAGAAUAUCACUUUCAUACAUUUUUUGGAGCUAAUUUUGAGGGUUUUGCUUGUGUUUUGUGAAAUACUAUCUGUAGUCAUCUAAUGAAACAAUGCUGUUUUUCUAUUACAAAGCUUUCUGUUCACGUGUCUACAUUGGAAGUUACUGCAUUCAGAAUGAAAGCCAUACAUCUGACCUCAAGAUGAGGAAAAUGGAAGAAGCAGAGAUACUUUUAGUGAAACAGAAUAAACCACUGAACAGGAAAAAUGAGGAAGCCGUGAGUACCAGUGGAAGGAACGAGCCAGGAAGAGGGACUGGAACCGUCUCAGAAGCCGUUCCCCUCAGCCUGGAACUUGCCCUGUCUCCUCGCAGAUGAGGUAGGAGGCUCAGCACAGGCUGGCGGGAGCAGCCCACAGCAGCAGUGAGGGUCAGUGGGCCUGUGAGUUAAGAAGAAGGUGGCACAGAGCGAGGGUCUCUGGGUCCUGUUUGACUUUUCCAUGACUGGGAUAAGUAGCCAGGGCUGGGCUAGUUGGAGAGUUACUUGAACCUCAGGUGACAGUUGUAAGGCAGCACAUGGUGAAAAAGAGUCCUAGCCUGGGAAAGUCCAAGAUCUUGGGUCUGCUUUCAGUUCACUCACCUAUCUCUGUGACAUAGCAAAGUCUCUUAACUUCUUUAAUUUUCUGAUUAGUGGUAUAGUUGCAGGAAUGAAAUAAAACUCGUCCUGAUUACUCA